GACGAACGCUAGCGGCGUGCUUAACACAUGCAAGUCGAACGGAAAGGCCCUGCUUUUGUGGGGUGCUCGAGUGGCGAACGGGUGAGUAACACGUGAGUAACCUGCCCUUGACUUUGGGAUAACUUCAGGAAACUGGGGCUAAUACCGGAUAGGAGCUCCUGCUGCAUGGUGGGGGUUGGAAAGUUUCGGCGGUUGGGGAUGGACUCGCGGCUUAUCAGCUUGUUGUUGGGGUAGUGGCUUACCAAGGCUUUGACGGGUAGCCGGCCUGAGAGGGUGACCGGCCACAUUGGGACUGAGAUACGGCCCAGACUCCUACGGGAGGCAGCAGUGGGGAAUAUUGCACAAUGGGCGGAAGCCUGAUGCAGCAACGCCGCGUGCGGGAUGACGGCCUUCGGGUUGUAAACCGCUUUCGCCUGUGACGAAGCGUGAGUGACGGUAAUGGGUAAAGAAGCACCGGCUAACUACGUG
This 468-nucleotide ribosomal RNA is filed under the name uncultured bacterium. Its description in RNAcentral is "partial 16S ribosomal RNA". It matches the Rfam family "Bacterial small subunit ribosomal RNA", at positions 28 to 507 of the family's 1533-position model. The record is from RNAcentral.